CCUACGGGUGGCAGCAGUGGGGAAUAUUGCACAAUGGGGGAAACCCUGAUGCAGCGAAGCCGCGUGAGUGAAGAAGUACUUCGGUAUGUAAAGCUCUAUCAGCAGGGAAGAAAAUGACGGUACCUGAUUAAGAAGCCCCGGCUAACUACGUGCCAGCAGCCGGGGUAAUACGGAGGGGGCAAGCGUUAUCCGGAUUUACUGGGUGUAAAGGGAGCGUAGACGGGAGUACAAGUCUGGAGUGAAAUGCCGGGGCUUAACCCCGGAAGUGCCUUGGAAACUGGGCAGCUAGAGUGCAGGAGAGGUAAGUGGAAUGCGUGGUGUAGCGGUGAAAUGCGUAGAUAUUAGGAGGAACACCAGUGGCGAAGGCGGCUUACUGGACUGUAACUGACGUUGAGGCACGAAAGCGUGGGUAGCAAACAGGAUUAGAUACCCGGGUAGUC
Molecule: ribosomal RNA, 440 nt
Filed under: uncultured bacterium
Lineage: Bacteria
Description: partial 16S ribosomal RNA
Rfam family: Bacterial small subunit ribosomal RNA
Source: RNAcentral